GCCGUACCGGAAGGUGCGGCUGGAAUACCUCCUUUUAGAGAUGGUAUUAAACCGUUUCUGUUGUUUCCAAAUACUUUCAAUUUUAUUAGCACACAAGCUCUUUAAAAGUACAAUAGUACCCGAACAGACCCGUAGCUCAGUUGGUUAGAGCGCUACACUGAUAAUGUAGAGGUCACCAGUUCAACUCUGGUCGGGUCUACUAUACAACUGCUGAAAGCUGAAUGCUUAGCAUUGAGCUAGAUGCCUCACUUGGGGGAUUAGCUCAGCUGGCUAGAGCACCUGCCCUUGCACGCAGGGGGUCAACGGUUCGAAUCCGUUAUCCUCCACAAAUUAUGGUUAGACGUUAAGGUUUAAUCACUGUUCUUUCAAAUAGAUGUAAGGAUUUACAAAGUGUAAAUGCCAGGGAGAUCGAAUCUUCAAACAUCAGCUAGAGACUUAGAAGAAGUAUGUAAAUACUACUGAAUGAGUUUGGCUUUUUGACAUAUUGGGAUUACAAAAUCAAAAAAGUAGAAUAGUACUGUACGUUAUAUGCAAGACGUAUGGUGAAAAUUUUUUAAAGCGAAUAAGGGCGCAUGGUGGAUGCCUAGGGUCUGAGAGGCGACGAAGGACGUGGUAAGCUGCGAUAAGCUACGGGGAGAUGCACACGAUCGAUAUAUCCGUAGAUUU
Molecule: unclassified non-coding RNA, 666 nt
Filed under: uncultured bacterium
Lineage: Bacteria
Description: partial contains 16S-23S ribosomal RNA intergenic spacer and 23S ribosomal RNA
Rfam family: Bacterial large subunit ribosomal RNA (bases 553-666)
Source: RNAcentral